GAUGAACGCUAGCGGCAGGCUUAACACAUGCAAGUCGAGGGGCAGCAUGAUGUAGCAAUACAUUGAUGGCGACCGGCGCAAGGGUGCGUAACGCGUGAGUAACAUGCCCGUAUCAGGGGGAUAACCCGAAGAAAUUCGGACUAAUACCCCAUAGUAAUUUGUGGAGGCAUCUCUAUGAAUUUAAAGCUCCGGCGGAUACGGAUUGACUCGCGUGACAUUAGCUAGAUGGUAAGGUAACGGCUUACCAUGGCGACGAUGUCUAGGGGAACUGAGAGGUUGGUCCCCCACACUGGAACUGAGACACGGUCCAGACUCCUACGGGAGGCAGCAGUGAGGAAUAUUGGACAAUGGAAGGAAUUCUGAUCCAGCCAUGCCGCGUGAAGGAUUACAGCCCUAUGGGUUUUAAACUCUUUUGUAUGUGAGCAAUAAGUCUUACGUGUAAGACGAUGAGAGUAGCAUACGAAUAAGCAUCGG
RNAcentral lists this ribosomal RNA (474 nucleotides) under uncultured bacterium. RNAcentral's name for it is "bacterial SSU rRNA". It matches the Rfam family "Bacterial small subunit ribosomal RNA", at positions 28 to 496 of the family's 1533-position model. The record is from RNAcentral.